This 71-nucleotide transfer RNA is filed under the name Candidatus Iainarchaeum sp. Its description in RNAcentral is "tRNA-Cys". It matches the Rfam family "tRNA". Rfam says of the family: Transfer RNA (tRNA) molecules are approximately 80 nucleotides in length. Their secondary structure includes four short double-helical elements and three loops (D, anti-codon, and T loops). Further hydrogen bonds mediate the characteristic L-shaped molecular structure. tRNAs have two regions of fundamental functional importance: the anti-codon, which is responsible for specific mRNA codon recognition, and the 3' end, to which the tRNAs corresponding amino acid is attached (by aminoacyl-tRNA synthetases). tRNAs cope with the degeneracy of the genetic code in two manners: having more than one tRNA (with a specific anti-codon) for a particular amino acid; and 'wobble' base-pairing, i.e. permitting non-standard base-pairing at the 3rd anti-codon position. The record is from RNAcentral. Lineage: Archaea; Nanobdellati; Candidatus Iainarchaeota; Candidatus Iainarchaeia; Candidatus Iainarchaeales; Candidatus Iainarchaeaceae.
GCGGGGGUGGCAGAACGGUCAUGCACCGGGCUGCAGACCCGGGGAACCGAGUCCGACUCUCGGCCCCCGCU